UUGAAAAAGAAAGAUACGACACACGCAAUGACAAUGAAGAGACAAGUCCUUCCUCUCCUGCUGUUCCUUCUUCCGCACCAUGCCCAUAGUGCUAACACGUGCACAUAUUACACCUCGGAAAAAGAUACCCACAAGCGAUGGCCACAUGUUGGAGACCUCGAUAUGGAUGAUUCAAAGAAUAAUGGAGCGAGCUUGGUUGCAUUUGAUCAUGGUGUAAUGUUGGAUUAUCCACCCGGUGUAGGUUCUUGUGGAGGAAAGUAUCCCAUUUGGA
Long non-coding RNA from Haliotis rufescens (red abalone), 271 nucleotides. RefSeq lists it as uncharacterized. The record is from RefSeq and is a predicted model, not a curated record. Lineage: Eukaryota; Metazoa; Mollusca; Gastropoda; Lepetellida; Haliotidae. The transcript is spliced from 3 exons.